CAACUUUGAUCACAUAUACCAAAUACUUUGUGUUGUGGCUUUUCAUUAGACUUUUAUUUGUAAGCACCACCACCACGUACCACCAGGUCCACCACCAUGGCCGAACAGAAGCCCCAGCACCACAACUUUUUCCACCACCACAAGGCGGAAGAAGGCAAGCCCAUUGACUAUAAGAAAGAGGAAAAACACCACAAGCAUAAAGAAAACCUUGGCAGCUCGGUGCUGUGGCUGCU
RNAcentral lists this long non-coding RNA (233 nucleotides) under Actinidia chinensis (golden kiwifruit). RNAcentral describes it as "long non-coding RNA (ACHI_LNC000394)". The record is from RNAcentral. Lineage: Eukaryota; Viridiplantae; Streptophyta; Magnoliopsida; Ericales; Actinidiaceae.